Molecule: ribosomal RNA, 916 nt
Filed under: uncultured archaeon
Lineage: Archaea
Description: bacterial SSU rRNA
Rfam family: Archaeal small subunit ribosomal RNA
Source: RNAcentral
UUUCCGGUUGAUCCUGCCGCCGGCCACCGCUAUCAAGUUCCGACUAAGCCAUGCGAGUCAAGGUAUCGUAAGAUGCCGGCAAACUGCUCAGUAACACGUGGAUAAUCUAACCUUGAGUAAGGGAUAACCUCGGGAAACUGAGGAUAAUACCUUAUAAUUGCUUAAAACUGGAAUGUUUAAGCAAUAAAAGUUCCGACGCUCAAGGAUGAGUCUGCGACCUAUCAGGUAGUAGGUGGUGUAAUGGACCACCUAGCCUCAGACGGGUACGGGCCCUGGGAGGGGUAGCCCGGAGAUGGACUCUGAGACAUCAGUCCAGGCCCUACGGGGCGCAGCAGGCGCGAACACUGUGCAAUGCGCGAAAGCGCGACACGGGGAGCUUGAGUGUCUUGGCAUAGCCAAGACUUUUCUCAUUCCUAAAAAGCAUGAGGAAUAAGUGCUGGGUAAGACGGGUGCCAGCCGCCGCGGUAACACCCGCAGCACAAGUGGUGGUCACUUUUAUUGAGCCUAAAGCGUUCGUAGCCGGUUUUGUAAAUCUUUAGAUAAAGCCUGAAGCUUAACUCCAGAAAGUCUGAAGAGACUGCAAGACUUGAGAUCGGGUGAGGUUAAACGUACUUUCAGGGUAGGGGUAAAAUCCUGUAAUCCCGGAAGGACGACCAGUGGCGAAAGCGUUUAACUAGAACGAAUCUGACGGUAAGGAACGAAGGCUAGGGUAGCAAACCGGAUUAGAUACCCGGGUAGUCCUAGCUGUAAACACUGCCCAUUUGAUGUUGCUUUUCCGUUGAGGGAAGGCAGUGUCGGAGCGAAGGUGUUAAAUGGACCGUUUGGGAAGUAUGGUCGCAAGACUGAAACUUAAAGGAAUUGGCGGAGGAGCACCGCAACGGGAGGAAUGUGCGGUUUAAUUGGAUUCAACGCCGGA